UCGCGCUAAUGUGCUAACGUGCUAACUGCCCGGUGCUGCGUGAAUCAGAGGCCGGAGUGGAGUGCGUGAGCCGCGGCCGGACGGUCACCACGCCCCGGGCGGCUAAAUGGAUCGACGGAGGAUAAAAUCAUUAAAAGAUGCGGAGAAACACAUCACCAGCUCCACUGACAAGACCCAUUCACUGGAAACCGAUUAUAUAGAAGGUUACUAAGUUUUGCGGCAUUGAUGCCGCUCGUGGACGGGACCCUCGGCCGGCUAGUGAAUGAUGACUAUCUGCACCCAAACUGCACUGUCAAUAAGAUUGUUGUUCAGAGAAAAACCUCACUUGUGCCUUUUUGCAAUCAGGGACAUUUUCCCUGGAGAGGAAAUAACUUUUGACUAUGGCGCAUGUGAUUGGCCUUGGAGAAAGCUUUCAUUGAAGGAUAACUAUAUGACUGCAGAAGAGAACUGCUCCUACAACUCUCUGAUGAGCUGUUAUUGAAGGAUGACCAAAUGACAGAACUGCUCUGCUCCAGUAGGAGUCCAACAACUCUCUGAUGAGCUUUUAUUGAAGAAUGACCAAAUGACAGAAAGAGAGAACUGCUCUGCUCCAGUAGGAGUCCAACAACUCUCUGAUGAGAGAAAGUUACAGUGGAUCGUGUUUUUGGAGGAGGUGAACUCCAAUCUAAAAGAGUCCCCUCAAGUAUCAUCACCAUGGUACAGUGUCUGUGAAGAUAGUGAAGCAGACCCAGCAUUCACAAAAAAAGAGAGGUCCCAUAAGGAGAAGACCCUGGAGCAAACAGGAAGUACAUGCUGUGGUG
Danio aesculapii is the source of this 800-nucleotide long non-coding RNA. RefSeq lists it as uncharacterized. NCBI's taxonomy places the organism in Eukaryota, Metazoa, Chordata, Actinopteri, Cypriniformes, Danionidae. The record is from RefSeq and is a predicted model, not a curated record. The transcript is spliced from 8 exons.